RNAcentral lists this ribosomal RNA (338 nucleotides) under uncultured bacterium. Its description in RNAcentral is "bacterial SSU rRNA". It matches the Rfam family "Bacterial small subunit ribosomal RNA", at positions 527 to 864 of the family's 1533-position model. The record is from RNAcentral.
GUAGGUGGCAAGCGUUAUCCGGAAUUACUGGGUGUAAAGGGAGCGCAGGCGGGAUAGCAAGUCAGCGGUGAAAUGCAUGGGCUUAACUCAUGGGCUGCCGUUGAAACUGUUAUUCUUGAGUGGAGUAGAGGCAGGCGGAAUUCCGAGUGUAGCGGUGAAAUGCGCAGGUAUUCGGAGGAACACCAGUGGCGAAGGCGGCCUGCUGGGCUCUAACUGACGCUGAGGCUCGAAAGUGUGGGGAGCAAACAGGAUUAGAUACCCUGGUAGUCCACACUGUAAACGAUGAUUGCUAGGUGUGGGGGGUCUGACCCCCUCCGUGCCGGAGUUAACGCAAUAAG